AUACCCGGCCGUCGGGGCA
Molecule: small nuclear RNA, 19 nt
Filed under: Arabidopsis thaliana (thale cress)
Lineage: Eukaryota; Viridiplantae; Streptophyta; Magnoliopsida; Brassicales; Brassicaceae
Description: snRNA_05485
Source: RNAcentral